GACGAACGCUGGCGGCGUGCUUAACACAUGCAAGUCGAACGGAAAGGCCCUGCUUUUGUGGGGUGCUCGAGUGUCGAACGGGUGAGUAACACGUGAGUAACCUGCCCUUGACUUUGGGAUAACUUCAGGAAACUGGGGCUAAUACCGGAUAGGAGCUCCUGCUGCAUGGUGGGGGUUGGAAAGUUUCGGCGGUUGGGGAUGGACUCGCGGCUUAUCAGCUUGUUGGUGGGGUAGUGGCUUACCAAGGCUUUGACGGGUAGCCGGCCUGAGAGGGUGAGCGGCCACAUUGGGACUAAGAUACGGCACAGAGUGCGACGGGAGGCAGCAGUGGAGAAUAUUGCACAGUGGGCGGAAGCCUGAUGCAGCAACGCCGCGUGCGGGAUGACGGCCUUCGGGUUGUAAACCGAUUACGCAUGUGACGAAGCGUGAGUGACGGUAAUGGGUAAAGAAGCACCGGCAAACUAAGUG
RNAcentral lists this ribosomal RNA (468 nucleotides) under uncultured bacterium. RNAcentral describes it as "partial 16S ribosomal RNA". It matches the Rfam family "Bacterial small subunit ribosomal RNA", at positions 28 to 507 of the family's 1533-position model. The record is from RNAcentral.